Molecule: long non-coding RNA, 686 nt
Organism: Sphaerodactylus townsendi
Lineage: Eukaryota; Metazoa; Chordata; Lepidosauria; Squamata; Sphaerodactylidae
Exons: 2
Source: RefSeq, a predicted model, not a curated record
CUGCUGCUUGAGCCCCAAAUGGGGCAGAUGCAACUGGCAGUAGAAGUCAACGUUUCUUCUUCCCUCCCUCUUUCCCUACAGGCAACUUUCGUGGCGAUACCUGCAAGCCUGGGGGAUCUGGCCCUGCUGAGUGUCACCUCCACGCAUCCAAGACCACAAAGAACUGCAGCUCUUCCAUCCUGGUACCGAGCAGCGGUUAAUUGAAGGUCUUGGCCCGGCUGCGUAAAGUUUUGCUAACGGCUGAAACUUCAAUAAACCCUCAGACACAACACCUGAUAAGAAUGAGGAAUCAUACCAACUGCCUUAAUUAAUUGGCAUCGUUUUGUGAUUGGUUCGCUGAGAUCACCUGAUAUGUAAUUUCUCUAUAUCUGCUUUUCAAUUUCAAUAUUGUAAUAGCGGUUCCCUUUGUUUGUUUGUUUUGCUUCUUCCUGCCUGUAACUGCUGAUACUACACAACGCUACCUCAUUCCAGCUAGAGCCUGUCUUUUUUGACAAUAAGACUUGCUUGCUUUUUGUUAUAACCACUAAGCAAGCAUGGAUAAGGUUUAUAUUUUGAUUUUAGUUGGUUCAAUAGCCUUGUCUUUAUUUGCUCUCGUUCAACUAAUUGCAUGCAUAGUAUGCCAGCUGACUAUAGUUUGUUGAAUGGCACUGACUUCAAUAAACUUCAGAAAUAUGUUUUAAAGGCAA